AAGGUUUUCGGAUCGUAAAACUCUGUUGUUAGAGAAGAACAAGGAUGAGAGUAGAACGUUCAUCCCUUGACGGUAUCUAACCAGAAAGCCACGGCUAACUACGUGCCAGCAGCCGCGGUAAUACGUAGGUGGCAAGCGUUGUCCGGAUUUAUUGGGCGUAAAGCGAGCGCAGGCGGUUUCUUAAGUCUGAUGUGAAAGCCCCCGGCUCAACCGGGGAGGGUCAUUGGAAACUGGGAGACUUGAGUGCAGAAGAGGAGAGUGGAAUUCCAUGUGUAGCGGUGAAAUGCGUAGAUAUAUGGAGGAACACCAGUGGCGAAGGCGGCUCUCUGGUCUGUAACUGACGCUGAGGCUCGAAAGCGUGGGGAGCGAACAGGAUUAGAUACCCUGGUAGUCCACGCCGUAAACGAUGAGUGCUAAGUGUUGGAGGGUUUCCGCCCUUCAGUGCUGCAGCAAACGCAUUAAGCACUCCGCCUGGGGAGUACGACCGCAAGGUUGAAACUCAAAGGAAUUGACGGGGGCCCGCACAAGCGGUGGAGCAUGUGGUUUAAUUCGAAGCAACGCGAAGAACCUUACCAGGUCUUGACAUCCUUUGACCACUCUAGAGAUAGAGCUUCCCCUUCGGGGGCAAAGUGACAGGUGGUGCAUGGUUGUCGUCAGCUCGUGUCGUGAGAUGUUGGGUUAAGUCCCGCAACGAGCGCAACCCUUAUUGUUAGUUGCCAUCAUUUAGUUGGGCACUCUAGCGAGACUGCCGGUGACAAACCGGAGGAAGGUGGGGGAUGACGUCAAAUCAUCAUGCCCCUUAUGACCUGGGCUACACACGUGCUACAAUGGGAAGUACAACGAGUUGCGAAGUCGCGAGGCUAAGCUAAUCUCUUAAAGCUUCUCUCAGUUCGGAUUGUAGGCUGCAACUCGCCUACAUGAAGCCGGAAUCGCUAGUAAUCGCGGAUCAGCACGCCGCGGUGAAUACGUUCCCGGGCCUUGUACACACCGCCCGUCACACCACGAGAGUUUGUAACACCCGAAGUCGGUGAGGUAACCUUUUUGGAGCCAGCCGCCUAAGGUGGGAUAGAUGAUUGGGGUGAAGUCGUAACAAGGUAGCCGUAUCGGAAGGUGCGGCU
This 1118-nucleotide ribosomal RNA is filed under the name Enterococcus sp. RNAcentral's name for it is "bacterial SSU rRNA". It matches the Rfam family "Bacterial small subunit ribosomal RNA", at positions 411 to 1519 of the family's 1533-position model. The record is from RNAcentral. Lineage: Bacteria; Bacillati; Bacillota; Bacilli; Lactobacillales; Enterococcaceae.